GUGAAGAACGUAGUGAAAUGCGAUACCUGGUGUGAAUUGCAGAAUCCCGCGAACCAUCGAGUCUUUGAACGCAAGUUGCGCCCGAGGCCACCCGGCCGAGGGCACGCCUGCCUGGGCGUCACGCCAAAACACGCUCCCACCCCCCCUCACCGGGGGAGCGGGACGCGGCGUCUGGCCCCCCGUGCCGCGAGGCGCGGUGGGCCGAAGAUCGGGCUGCCGGCGUACCGUGCCGGGCACAGCGCGUGGUGGAUCUCUACUCGGCGCAGUGCACCCGGCGCGUAGCCGGCGCAGCGGCCCCUAAGGACCCAACGAACGGAGCGCGAGCCGCUCCGACCGCGACCCCAGGUCAGGCGGGACUACCCGCUGAGUUUAAGCAUAUCAAUAAGCGGAGGA
Molecule: unclassified non-coding RNA, 393 nt
Filed under: soil metagenome
Description: partial contains 5.8S ribosomal RNA, internal transcribed spacer 2, and large subunit ribosomal RNA
Rfam family: 5.8S ribosomal RNA (bases 2-121)
Source: RNAcentral